This 2603-nucleotide long non-coding RNA is filed under the name Heterocephalus glaber (naked mole-rat). RNAcentral describes it as "lncRNA (ENSHGLG00000050105.1)". Lineage: Eukaryota; Metazoa; Chordata; Mammalia; Rodentia; Bathyergidae. The record is from RNAcentral.
CAACUGCACAUUUAGAACUCAGUUGAGAACUGGACUAUCACUAGGAUGAGUGAACCUAUAAAGACCAUGCUAUCAUUCUGUCUCCUCAAAAGCCACCUUCCCCUCCCUGCCUUCUUCCCGUGUGGCUGCCUCUGUCUCUGAAGCUCCUUCCCUCAGGCCGCACAUUCUCAGGCCUUGACGCCAGCCCAGUGAUCAGGAUCACUGUGCCCCUGUGAAGUUUUUGUUUCUAGGUCAGUGCAGAGACCCAGGCUCUCACAGGAGAUAACAGCUAAUCUCAGGCUGAAUGAUGUGGCCAGCUAGAAAGGCUGACUUUGUACCUUGGCUAGGCCAAGGUACCUAGUUUCGCUAAAGCACCAGUCUACGAGUUGCCUGUGAUUGUUUUUCAGAUGUGAUGAACAUUUAAGUCAGUAGGUUUUGAGUAAAGCAAAGAACCUUUAUAAUAUGGGGAGGUCUCAGCCAGUCAGUUGAAGGACAGAUAGCCUGAGGUUUCCUAAGUAAGUCAGAAUUCAGCCUGUAGAUUGUGUGCAUGCUCAACAUGUGCUAUCAAUUCUUUUUUCCAUCCUCCUUCCUCAGCCUGCAAGAACGCUGGCAUUACAGGCAUGCACCACCAUCUCCAGCUCCCUGAGUCUCCAUCCUAUGGUCUGCCCAGCUGAUUUCAGACUUGCUAGACAAUACUGCUCUCACUAUGCAGUGCAGACUGGCCUCAAACUCACCAUGUAGCCCGGGCUGGCCAUGUGCUUGUGGUCCUCCUGCCUCAGCCUCCCCAGUGCUGGGACUACGGGUAUGUGCUGGUACUCUUGGCCCAUAAUAAAGGUUUUUUUUUUAAUAUUAAAGUAUUAAAGCAGACACUUCAAAUAUCUUUGAAUAAAUAAUGAUUAGUUCAAAAGCAAUCAGAAACAUGCAACUACAUAUAUAAAAUAUUGUUAAUGAAACUUGGCAAAAAUACUAGUUGAAUCUGUAUUUUUAAGGCAUUCCAGCUGAAUGUAUAUGUGCUGCCAAAGGGAGCACUAGUCUAGCUAAAUGUAUCAAAACUCCAGUACUAUGUGUUUAUUGAUUAUAAAUGUUGUAUAGGUCUAUUUAUUAUGUCAAAUUGGAAACAAUAUCUUCAGACUAUUCAACCUAUGACUGUAUCUCAGUGGCAUGGAUUUAAAUGCCUCCAUUCUCCUGGUGCGUUGGUGCUCCAGUGAAACCACAAAGCCAAAAAUCGAAGUGCAUAAAAUCCAAAAGACCACAUCUUCUACAAUUUUUGUUUGCCCUGCCCACUUACUAAAGUGCUUCUCAGAUCUUGGAAGGUGUAAUCACCAGCUGUUUCAGCACAGUGAAGCAUCUGCUUCAAACUUACCAGGUAACCUUGAACAGUACAUACAUUCAUAGUUCAGCUUUAGUUUUAUACAGUCAAUAUCUUGCUAUUCAUAUAUAUAUACACACACACACACACACAUUUUAAGGAACAAAUUUAAAGCAUUUUAGAUGCUAUACAAUUCUUUUAUUUAUCAUUUUUUAAAAUUCAUGUUUAUUGGUACAUUUCAGGCAUACAAUAUGAUGACAUUCAUCAUUGAGAAUUUGUACUUUUACAUGAUGUAUCUUGGUUGUUAUUUUUUCCCCAUCCUCCUGCCCUCCCUUCAACCCCUCCACCCCUCCCUAUUUACAAAGACUUUGUUUCUAGUUUUUCCUUCUCUUAUAUUUAUUCCUUUCCCUUCUUUCCUUUCCCCUACCCCUCCCACUUCCCCUUCCCCUUUGGGCCUUAUCUUCCUAUUCGCUAUAAAAUUCUUAUGGAAUUUAAAAUUUGACUUUAGUUUUCUAAACUCAUAUUUCAGUUUGUCCAGUCUAAUGAUUCACACCUAAUGCUAAAUGUGGGCUCUGUACACACACAGUUAAACCUUAACAGACAAUUCUGUAUCAGUUAGGAAUGUGCACAAUUCCAAGCUACAGAAAAGCUGAAAAUAUGACUUAAACAAUUGCAAGUUACAGAAAAACUGGAAAUAGGAAAUAUUAAACAAAUAAAGUUUUCCUUAUCUCCCCUGACAAGAUGUCUAGAGGUAGGGAGCUAGGGGCAUUGGGUCAGCAGUUCAGCGUUAGGACAGAUGUCAAUAAAAGUUGUCUUGGUCCUUUCUUCAGCCAUAUUGCUUCAUGGUUACAAGACAGUUGAUAGGCUGUGAACAUCAAGAAGGCAGAAGAUUUCCCAGAAAACUGCAUUAGUCUUUCAACCAUGUCUCACUGGCUAGAUCUGUGUCACAUGGCUAUUCCUAGUCUCAAGGGAAGCAGGGAACUGCUGAGAUGGGCUUGUUCUUUACCUUUAAUUAUAGGUGAAUUGGAUGUAAAAUUCUAAAUUGACAGUUGUUUUCCACAGCACUUUGAGAUAUUAUUCUAUUUCCUACUUGUUCUGUUUUUGUUGAUGAAGAUUCUGACUAUCCUCCACAGUUGUUUUGUUAGUUCCAAUGUCUACCAUUCUGACCACAAAUUUGCUCUAUUGUUGAAGCAGGAAAUUUUAUUCUUUCUUUCAGACACAGCUAUUUACUUAUUUUUUGUUAUAUUACAUCAUGAAUAUCCAUAAGUUAGCAGAGCAAAAAUGGUUUUUAUGGGCUGGGAGGUAGCUUAGUGGC